GACGAACGCUGGCGGCGUGCUUAACACAUGCAAGUCGAACGGAAAGGCCCUGCUUUUGUGGGUUUCUCGAUUGGCGAACGGGUGAGUAACACGUGAGUAACCUGCCCUUGACUUUGGGAUAACUUCAGGAAACUGGGGAUAAUACCGGAGAGGAGCUCCUGCUCCAUGGGGGGGGUUGGAAAGUUUCGGCGGUUGGGGAUGGUCUCGAGGCUUAUCAGCUGGUUUGGGGGGUUGGGGCUUUCCAAGGCUUUGAGGGGUAGGCGGCGUGAGAGGGUGGCCGGGGUCAUUGGGACUGCGAUACGGCCCAGACGCGUACGGGAGGCAGCAGUCGGGAAUCUUGCACAAUGGGCGGAAGCCUGAUGCAGCAACGCCGCGUGCGGAAUGACGGCUUUCGGGUUGUAAACCGAUUUCGCCUGUGACGAGGAGUGAGUGACGGUAAUGGGUAAAGAAGCACCGGCUAACUACGUG
This 468-nucleotide ribosomal RNA is filed under the name uncultured bacterium. Its description in RNAcentral is "partial 16S ribosomal RNA". It matches the Rfam family "Bacterial small subunit ribosomal RNA", at positions 28 to 507 of the family's 1533-position model. The record is from RNAcentral.